RNAcentral lists this long non-coding RNA (970 nucleotides) under Rhinopithecus bieti (black snub-nosed monkey). Its description in RNAcentral is "lncRNA (ENSRBIG00000045992.1)". Lineage: Eukaryota; Metazoa; Chordata; Mammalia; Primates; Cercopithecidae. The record is from RNAcentral.
UUUAUAUUGGCUUUGAUGGAACAUGGUUCCAUGAGAAAUCUCAGAUAAGACUUUAAAGCCUUGAGCCCAGCCAUGGUUUUCUGCCAACCAUAUCUGAAUGAGUUGAGUAAAUUUCUCUCCUCUUGAGGUCUUAAUAUAACUUGGGGAUCCUGGGCCUGCUAGGAACUGAUAUUCUUUCCUUACCACAGGUCAGGAACCCUGUACAGGAACUGUAGAGACUAGUUAUGAGGCCAGUUUUCUCAAGGGGAUUUUAUUGUCUCUAUAAGUCAACUUUGAUUCCUUAAAGGAGUCUGUAUCUCAAAGCAAGAGAAUGAGGGGUGGGAUGUAGUGAUGUCACAAGAGUCCCAUUAUGACCCCUACCCCAUCAUUGGAGCAAGGACUGGCUAAGCCUGAGCAAGGGUGGGGGAAAUAAAUAAGGCACUGUUGCUAGGGCCUGAGCCCAGCAGAGAAAGGCUGUGUGCAGAGGGAGGGCCUCGGGUCCUGCUGCUCCUCCUGGACUCCUUCAUCCCAAUCCCUUCACAUCCUCCUCUAACAAGGACACCCACAUCCCUCCCCGGCUAACUUGGAUCCUGCUCAACGCAACACCUGCCUUUCCUGAGUCCCCGGGUUCCUGCAGGCCUCAGGGCCCCACAGUUAUAUCUGCUGUUCCUGCAGGAUCAUUCUUGGCCACAGGACAAAGUGAUCCUAGGAAAUUGGACCCCCCAAGGCAAAAAGAGAAGCCAUCUCCUGCACUUCCUCCAGAGCUGCACCUGAUCAGAAGAAUCACUUGGGCACCCAGUUAACUGGAGGUGUUUGCUGAGCAGGUACACAACACACAAGGAUACAAGCAGCCAUUGCACACAGACACACCCACAUCGGACACAAACUGCUCUCUUCCCCUACCUGCACCAAGAGGUGCAUGUGGCAGGGGUCCUGGUAGAGCACUUCUAGGACGAGUGUUCUGGGACCCUCAUGUGAAGGGAACUCCAUG